GUGCCAGCCGCCGCGGUAACACCGGCAGCCCGAGUGAUGGCCGCUUUUAUUGGGCCUAAAGCGUCCGUAGCCGGCCGUUCAGGUCCGUCGGGAAAUCCACUGGCUCAACCAGUGGGCGUCCGGCGGAAACCGAUCGGCUUGGGACAGGGAGACCAGAGGGGUACGUCCGGGGUAGGAGUGAAAUCCUGUAAUCCUGGACGGACCACCGAUGGCGAAAGCACUUCGAGAAAACGGAUCCGACAGUGAGGGACGAAAGCCAGGGUCUCCAACCGGAUUAGAAACCCUAGUAGUCC
This 293-nucleotide ribosomal RNA is filed under the name uncultured bacterium. Its description in RNAcentral is "partial 16S ribosomal RNA". It matches the Rfam family "Archaeal small subunit ribosomal RNA", at positions 455 to 747 of the family's 1478-position model. The record is from RNAcentral.